This is an RNA transcript of Nelumbo nucifera (sacred lotus), 1658 nucleotides long. It is a transcript of the gene named protein phosphatase 1 regulatory inhibitor subunit PPP1R7 homolog, with no coding region annotated. The record is from RefSeq and is a predicted model, not a curated record. Lineage: Eukaryota; Viridiplantae; Streptophyta; Magnoliopsida; Proteales; Nelumbonaceae.
GGAGAUGUCUCAUGUCUAGCAUCUUUCCUCGCGCCAUUCCUUCGUUUCCCCCGCAUCUUUGUCGUCUCUUGCGCAAGAGCGCGCUCGGAGGGAGCAAAACAGCCAACCGGUCAUUGUUCCUGCAACUCCAAGGGUACAUCUAAGUCUCAGGGCUCGCUGCUUUCGAGGGAUUUGAAUAGAGUCCCUAAGGGUUUUGUUCUGCAUUAAUGGAGGAUGAAUCCUCACGAAUCCCUAAAGAGAAUCACGGAGCAUCCGAGGGAGGAACGGUCGAAGAAAAUUCAUCGUGUUCUUAUCUCGAUCUCACCAGCUAUCAGCUCCAUGACCUCGAUGGAAUCGAGCUUCCUCCGAGUUUAUUCGAGUUGGAUUUAACGGCCAAUCGUUUAUGCACGUUGGAUCCUCGAAUAGCCCUCCUCAGGGAGCUAAAAAAGCUCUAUCUGCGGCAAAAUUUAUUUGAUGACGCCGGAAUCGAGCCAAUUUCUCGAUGGGAUUCCAUAUCGGCCCUUGAAGAGCUAGUUCUCAGGGACAACAGGCUUAAGAAGAUACCAGAUGUCAGUAUUUUCAAAAGCCUUCUUGUAUUUGAUGUUUCUUUCAACGAGAUUUCUUCCUUAAAUGGUCUAUCAAAGAUCACGAACACGCUCAAGGAACUCUAUGUUUCUAAGAAUGAAGUGACUAAGAUGGAGGAACUCGACCACUUCCAUGAUCUACAAAUUCUUGAGCUGGGCUCCAACAGAUUACGGGUAAUAGAGAAUUUGCAAAACCUAGCACAUUUACAAGAGCUGUGGCUGGGACGCAAUCGCAUCCGAACAGUAAACCUGUGUGGACUAAGAUGCAUCAAGAAGAUUAGCUUGCAGAGCAACCGCUUGACAUCCAUGUUGGGAUUUCAGGAUUGCGUUUCUUUAGAAGAGCUAUACUUGAGCCAUAAUGGUAUUUCAAAGAUGGAAGGGCUAUCCACCUUAGCUAAUCUGCGUGUUCUGGAUGUUUCUUCAAAUAAGUUAACAACCAUUGAUGACAUUGAACACCUGACAAGGUUGGAGGAUCUGUGGCUCAAUGACAACCAAAUUGCAUCACUUGAAGGCAUUGAUGUAGCUGUCGCAGGUUCAAGCAAAAAGCUCACCACCAUUUAUCUUGAGCGCAAUCAAUGUGCAACUUCAUCAAAUUACUCUGCUAUUCUUCGAAGUAUCUUCCCAAAUCUUCAACAGAUUGAUUCAGACAUAUUCUUCUAGGACUCCAAGCUUUUUCCCUUGUUAUGCUAUUUCAAGGAGAGUGUGAGUAUAUAUUGAUCGCCUCCAAGAAAAAUGGACCAACUUGAUACAAGUUGGUGCAGAUGAUGAAGUUAAUUUUUGUGGUAGGUUUAAAGGUUAUUCAGUUGGUUCCUGAACAUUCCUUUCCUACAAGGAGAUGAGAAUGCAGCUGUGGAACAGGGGCUGGAUGAACGUGCACAACUUUUUCAAUUGCAUCUGUCGAGAUAAAUUUGAUUACUGUACAUCAUCUAAAUCUUACCCCUCCCCUCUUUGCACACACUUGUAGACCCUUUGACUGAGGAGAGAUUAUGAUCCAAAUGGGUGGUGUAGAGAAAUCAUGGUUUACUGUGUUCUUUCCAAGUUGAUGUAUUUGGGUCUAGAUUAUAAUAACUGUAAUUUGAUGAAUUUUUAUAUUUA